Molecule: ribosomal RNA, 239 nt
Filed under: uncultured bacterium
Lineage: Bacteria
Description: partial 16S ribosomal RNA
Rfam family: Bacterial small subunit ribosomal RNA
Source: RNAcentral
CAAUCCAUGAGUACAGUGGCGACCGGGUGAGUAACACGUGACUACCUACCCUUGAGUGGGGGAUAACCUCGGGAAACCGAGGCUAAUACCGCAUAAUAUCGAGAGAUCAAAGGAGCAAUUCGCUUUUGGAGGGGGUCGCGGCUGAUUAGUUAGUUGGCGGGGUAAUGGCCCACCAAGGCGAAGAUCGGUAUCCGGCCUGAGAGGGCGCACGGACACACUGGAACUGAAACACGGUCCAG